CGGCGCACGGGUGAGUAACGCGUGGAUGAUCUACCCAUGAGUUGGGAAGUAACGGACUGGAAACGGUCGCUAAUACCGAAUACGCUCCGAUUUCAACUUCGGGGGAAAGGUGGCCUCUGCUUGCAAGCUACUGCUCAUGGAUGAGUCCGCGUCCCAUUAGCUAGUUGGUCGGGGUAACGGCCCACCAAGGCGACGAUGGGUAGCCGGUCUGAGAGGAUGACCGGCCACACUGGGACUGGAACACGGCCCAGACUCCUACGGGAGGCAGCAGUGGGGAAUAUUGCGCAAUGGGCGAAAGCCUGACGCAGCGACGCCGCGUGAGGGGAAUGAAGGUCCUCGGAUCGUAAACCUCUGUCAGGAGGGAAGAACCGCCACGGUGCUAAUCAGCCGUGGUCUGACGGUACCUCCAAAGGAAGCACCGGCUAACUCCGUGCCAGCCGCCGC
Molecule: ribosomal RNA, 444 nt
Filed under: uncultured bacterium
Lineage: Bacteria
Description: bacterial SSU rRNA
Rfam family: Bacterial small subunit ribosomal RNA
Source: RNAcentral